CUUUGGGCAGAUUAUUUAUGUUUCGGUUUUAUUUUAGUUGUUUUGAAUGAAUGCAGAUUUUAUUUUAUUAUUUGUGAACUUUAGAUGAUUUUAACCCAUUCCUGUGAGUUCGCGCUGGGGAGAGGUGUGAGUGGGAAAGCCAGAGCCAGGAGCUGCUGCUGAACAUGUUUUUUGUUUUAAACAGGAAUAAAUCAAUGCAAAUCCUGGUUCCUUGACGUGAUUCAUUCUACAACUGUUACACAGGCAGUCAUGUUCAAAUUGACUUCUGAUUUCCCUGUCAGCAGGUGGUGGUGCUUUCUGCUCCCCAAACCAAAUCCUGACAUAAACCUGGAAGCCUUAAAGACACAAGGGCCAAAUGUCUGGGAGCUAUCUAGUCCCCACGGCACCCAGCCUGAGAAAUUGGUGCCAAGGGACGGCUUCGCCUGGACCAAUUGUCUCCCCAAUCCUUGGAUUCCCAGGCUCAGUUGAAGCAUAACUUGGUGACUCAAACCGCAUGAGAUGGAUCCUGUGGCUUUACGGAAGGGGACGUUUGACAUGGGCGCUCUCUGCCCCAACGUGCACGACGCGCACGCACUCAGCCGCACAGAUGCAGAGAUUGCGAGCAUGACUCGCCUCAAUAGCAGCAGAGUCAAACAAAUUGCUAAGGUCUGUGCAAACAAGAACAAUGUGUGGAAGGAUUUAUACAACCACUCUUUCUUACACACACACACUAACACACGCAUGCACACACACACGCACAUUAAUUCGCUCCCUAUUCUUACUGAGUCACAUUUAUUUACAAAAAGCGCGAGCCAGCUAACAUUGUGUACAUUUGUAUUAGCGCUAACCUUUUCUGUUCUUGAUAUUUUGCAAAUUGUGUAUAAAUCUUGAGAACAGUCCUAGAGCAAAGUGUUUCAUCAGGCAGUAUUUAGAUAUGUCACAUCAAAACCCGCAGAGAAAGGCCGGUCUACCCUGAUUGCCAGAAAAUAAACAGAAGCGAAGUCGGAGUCUAACUCAUUCAUCACUGCAUCAUGUUGACUGCCAUUUGAUGUGUGGAGCUUCCAGGACGUAUAUGAGGCUUUUCUCUGCUGGAUACUUCAGCAGUGUGUGUAGCAAUAUGUUGGGCAGGUAACCGCAGUGGGAUUUUUACUGAAAUCCGACUGCGGACCAAAAUUACGGCGUUUGUUAAAUUUUCAGCUGCUUCUGUUCACUUCCACGCUGCACCGUGUCAAACAGUCCAAGCCAACUGGAAAAACCUGUUUACCUCCUCACCUGUGGUGGAGCUGCACCAAAAACCACGAGAGGAAACAACAUAAAAACCUCAGAAGACACUGAGGUGUCUUCUUCUAGUUGUGAAGAAGGAACAACUUCCUUUUUUAAAAA
Poecilia latipinna (sailfin molly) is the source of this 1362-nucleotide long non-coding RNA. RefSeq lists it as uncharacterized. The transcript is spliced from 3 exons. The record is from RefSeq and is a predicted model, not a curated record. NCBI's taxonomy places the organism in Eukaryota, Metazoa, Chordata, Actinopteri, Cyprinodontiformes, Poeciliidae.